UUCAGUUCUGUAAAUCAAAAAGCCAAAAAUGUACAAAAUAAAGAUCACACGUGACUUGCAAUAUAUGGAAUGCUAAACUGUCGAAUCAACACAUUGUCUUUAUACCUGUUAAGUAAAACAGUUGUCCUUCCUCUCCUCUGGUGUGUUUGCUGCCCAAACAUCAAAUGAGAAGUGGUCGGACGCCUCCAUUUUAAAGAGAAUCUUAGAGGGCAGAUUGGCGCCGUGAUCUCAUCAAAGGAACAAUUAACAGUAUACCUCUGAAUGAGGAUGAACACGGCAGUAACAACCAAGUUAAUCACAGCUGAUGAAUGGUUCCUGCAAUCAGUUUGUGAUCAUCCGUCGCUCAAUUAAUCACACAGAAAUUUCUUCACUCACAAACACACAAAGCAUAUUCAAAUUAUUGGAAACUUUGUUAAUUAUGGUGAUUGACUUUGAUGUAUUUGGUUUGAGGUUAAAUCUUAAUUGUGUACAAUAUAUACACCUUUCUGGCAUCAGUAAACAUGGCCCUCAUCAACAGCACAAAACAAGGUACGACCAAAGAUGUAACAUCUUACUAUUAGCAUCUUGUGGCUGCUUUUCAGAUUCACAGUGGCCUCGAAGAGCCCACAGACAUAACCAACAUGACCGUGUGGGAAACUCAUCUCAAGAAUGCCUUCAUGUACGGGCUUCUGCCAGACGUCUGCCACUGAGCACUCUUGUGGGUCUGGAAGAUGCAAGGCUCACAGAAGUGAGAAGAGAAGGGUUACGAAGAUUCUGCUGACAUCCAUGACAAUGAUCAUGUCUAUGACAACAUGGAGACUGACUGCGAUGACGCAAUCUACACAAAUAUGUAACUUUGUUGAAUUCAUUGGAGGAACAGAGCAGUCCCUCUGUUACCAACUGCUACCAACGGGAAGCUGUCAACAUAUUAUAACCCUCUUCUGUCUGUAUGCCAAGUGAGAUUUUUCUUUCCCAGGCAUUCAUAAAAUAUUCAUGUUUUUUAAAGUUGUGCAUUUAAAAAAUAACGUAAUAACCCCCUGACAGCUUGUUCUAUCAUCAGUAACGUAUUUGUGUUGUGACAAAUCACCAUAAAACGACUGCCGAAUUUUACUUGCUCAUAUGUGGGAAAACGCAUCGCUAUUAAACAGCAGCAGUCACCCAAAAUAACAAGUUAGGUCUCUAAACUUCCUGUUUUGUAGAAAUGGUUUCUGAUAAGAUGAUUUCCGAGAACAUUAACGCCAUAGAAUCGGAAAAACCGUUAACACGGUAAAGAACUAUAAAUAUUGCCUGUUCCUUUUUUUUUUUUUUAUCCGCUGUACAGGCACGUACACAGAUAGACCCCUAGUGGUGCUCGAGCACCUGC
Gasterosteus aculeatus aculeatus (three-spined stickleback) is the source of this 1342-nucleotide non-coding RNA. The record is from RefSeq and is a predicted model, not a curated record. NCBI's taxonomy places the organism in Eukaryota, Metazoa, Chordata, Actinopteri, Perciformes, Gasterosteidae.